UAGAAAGGUCAGUCAGUAAAGGCAUUAAGUAUUCUGGACCAAAUGAGGGAUUUUGGGUGUAAACCAAAUAGGGUACUUAUCUGUACUUUGAUUCAGGGUCUAUGCAAAGAUGGGCAUGUGGAGGAAGCUCAUAAACUCAUUAUCAGAGUAGCUGAAAGUGGUCUUCCAUGUGAUUCUUGUUACAAUUUUCUAGUUUUAUCACUGUUUCGGAUUGGAAAACUCAAGGAGGCAGAAAUGUGUUUUAGGAGAAUGUUGGCUGGUGGCCUAAAGCCUGAUGGUUUGACCUCAAGCACAAUAAUGAGAUGGCUUUGUCAGCAGAGAAGGAUGCUUGAUGGAUAUCACUUGAUUGAUGCGAUUGAGCAGUCUGCAGGCGUAUCUUCUAUAGAUUCUGAACAAGCACAAUAAUGAGAUGGCUUUGUCGGCAGAGAAGGAUACUUGAUGGAUAUCACUUGAUUGAUGCGAUUGAGCAGUCCGCAGGCGUAUCUUCUAUGGAUUCUGAUAUCUAUUCUAUACUUA
RNAcentral lists this long non-coding RNA (516 nucleotides) under Nicotiana benthamiana. Its description in RNAcentral is "long non-coding RNA (NBEN_LNC003408)". Lineage: Eukaryota; Viridiplantae; Streptophyta; Magnoliopsida; Solanales; Solanaceae. The record is from RNAcentral.